This is a long non-coding RNA of Drosophila subobscura, 978 nucleotides long. RefSeq lists it as uncharacterized. NCBI's taxonomy places the organism in Eukaryota, Metazoa, Arthropoda, Insecta, Diptera, Drosophilidae. The record is from RefSeq and is a predicted model, not a curated record. The transcript is spliced from 3 exons.
GUUUCCAUUUUGCUAGAUAAACAACACAAUGUCGUCUUUUGUUGACUAGUGCCUAUAUAAUCGGAUGAAAACCAUUUGUCCAAAUUUGUACUAUCUUUUGUACUAUCUUUCCCCCCCUGUGGCCCUGUGCAUGCCCAGUUUCAUGUGUGAUUUUUGAUAGUAGCUUUUAUUUAGGCACCUUUUUGGGGAGAUCAAUAUUUGUUUUGUUCGUUUGUGUGCAGUGCGUUUCAGAGCCAGCCAUAGGUGCUAAGGAAUUGUAGGAAUUGAUGUAGGCUAAUUUUUAAGCUAAACUAAAACAAAUGCCUAAAAUCCACUUACUAGUACAACUAAUUGAAAGCAAUAACUGAAGCUAGUGAGCCUUAACCAAAUCGUUUCGAUUCUACGAGUAUUUACUGCCCCUUUUUGGAUAAAUAAACGAAAUAAACAAACUCACUUACAUAGAUGAGAAUAGUAUGUAGAAAGCAUCCAAAUCCAAAGCCCUUAGUCCCUGAAACGCACUGCAGGAAGUGUAUUUGAUCUGUCUGCACAUAGAAAACGAAACCAGCUUAGAGUCAAUUAUGUAGGUAGAAAAGAAAUCGUAAAUUGUGAGCAUUUUGUUUGUUUCGCAGCUGACACCUGUUGGCUUAUCAGGCCCCAACCCGACCAUAAACCGCGCUCAGAAAAACGCAGAGAGACAGGCCCGCGUGUGUUUGCAAUAGAAAUGAUACGAGUAUAUCUUAGCUGGCUGCUGCCUUUUCCGAUGGACGAUGGUGUCUGCUUGUGAGAUUCAAAAUGUAUUUAGUUUUUUAGUUAAAUGCAUAUACUUAUGGUAUAUAAAUUACUAUAUAGAAACUGAUACUUAUAUUAGUAAAUACACCUAGAGACUUUGUGCACGAGGCAUCGCUAAUUCGAACACUGUUAUGGAACACUCGCAUCAAUUUAUUCACUGAUUGUACAUUUAUCAAGGAAAUAUAUACACCAGACAUUUUUGUAGUUUGA